GCCUCCUCUUCUCCAGACUAAACAACCCCAGUUCCCUCAGCUGUUCCUCACAGGACUUGUGCUCCAGGCCCUUCACCAGCUUCAUAGCCCUUCUCUGGACACACUCCAGGACUUUGAUCUCCUUCUUGUACUGAAGGGCCCAAAGGUGAACACAGUACUCAAGCUGCAGCCUCACCAGAGCAGAACACAAGGGGAUGAUCACCUCCCUGGUCCUGCUGGCUACGCUAUUCCUGAUAGAAGCCAGGAUGCCAUUGGCCUUCUGGGCCACCUGGGCACACUGCUGGCUCAUGUUCAGGGAACUCUUGAAGUGACACGCAAAUGGGCAAGCUGGGAGACUGUGGUAGAAGAGCUUGCAGCCUAUGAUUAGUCAACCAUGUCCUAGGAACAAGAGCCUUUAAGGGACAGUCUUGCUGAUCCCAAAGCUGAAAGACAAGGUACCUGUACAGGACCCUUCUGAGCUGACAGUAGGAUAAACAGAGACACUCUUGCUGCUGCUGGCUCAGACAAACACUGAUCUUUGCUCUGCUGAGGAAAUCACAUUACUGUAAAAACAGGUUCCAAGGGAUUGUUUGAAGGGAAGGAACUGUGCUGAUCCUCAUCUACUAAGGCAGCGUACAUCUUUGUCUGAGGAACCUGGGAGAAAAUUAGAACAAAACAGAUUUACUGGGCCGCAGGGUCUAAUUUACUGUAUUCACAGUCAGACAUUCAGCAAGAAAUAAAUGAGGGAAUAAGUGAGCAGAUCUUCUUCCUGCUUUCCCACUUGAGAAUGGAGUUCUAUACUUUGGGUGACACCCACUGCAGCUUCACAGGAAGACGAAAUUAGUCAUCAAUAUUCAAGCUGAAAAUCUAAAUUGAUGUUCUCUAGAGAUCAAGGGUAAGGCCAGACUUUCCUUGUGGGAUAGAGAUGUUGAAAAACUUCAGUUUCUCUUCUGUUGUACUUGAGUGAGUGGAACAAAUCAAGGUGAAAUUAUACAAAACAUGACCAAAAAAAGUAUUUAUGUAACAGAUAUGUUAUGGAAGUGUCUGUCAUAGUAUAUUAGAAGAAAGUAAGUAAAAAACUCAGGUUUUGCUUGCAUAUUCAAAAUGGGAUAAUGCAUUGUUCACAUUGAAGAGCAGCCUUUAUAAUUCAUUUAAUAGAAAAACCAGAAACUUUAGGCUUUUCUUUCUAAUUAAGGAAAUGUUUAUGGUAUAUGCAUAAAUGGUUCCAAGAUCAAGGAAGACAGUCUUGUGAAUAUAAAGGGAGAGAGAUGACAGAAAGCGACAGACUGACAUUCAGUCAAGUAUCUUCUGGUGGCUCAUCCAAAGCCUUGAAAUGAAUGGUUUCUAUGGGUUUUUAUAUUUAGUCUUUCCAAAGGUGAAAUAUUUUUAACUGAGGAGAAAUGACGUUCUAUAUUAUAGAGGCCAGCCUCACAUUGUUGUAAGUGGUCCCAGUUUCAUAAAAUGUAUGCAGUAGCUGUCUUGAAGUCAGUUAAAAUUCUUGUUAUCACUUUUCCUACUGGAAAGCUUCUAUAGGAAACUCACCAUUCCCUCCCUGCAUCUAUCUCUUAGCAGGAAAUGCUAUUUUUGUGAAAGACAAAAGCAACCAACAUGUCUAGAUACGAAACAGCUUGAAUCCUCAGUUUAUGUAAUUAAUCCAAACUAAAAAUUUCAGCUGAAACUUUCACAGACUCAAAAAUUCAGUCAGAUGCCAGCUGAUCACCUCUCUGUUUUUCAAGUACAGAAUCGACAUUUAGUCACAAUUUGGCUUAGAAAAAAUAAAUGUUUGUCUAAGCUGUUGUUACAGUUUACAGAGACUUCUAGAGUAUUUGAAGUGUCAGGUAUAUACACAGUACCUAUCAAAUAAUCACGUCUUUUUUUCCUGUUUUGUUUCCUUUCCUUUGUAAUGUGGCUGACAUUACAAGAGAAUUGACACAAUUUAUGGGCUUGCAUAAAUUGCAUCAACUGCUGAGAAAGUUUGAAACAACUUCCUGUAACUGGUGACUCUAAGAACUAGCACCUUCUCUGGGUAAGACACAGAUAGGAACCCUCUAACAUAAUGAGCAUUAGGUUUUGCAUUUCUUUUGAUCAAAAAACCUUGAGGUGUUCAGGAGAUACAUACGAUAACUACUUAAGUUUAGGCUUAAAAUGAAUCUCUUUCAUCUGCUUCAUCAGGAGUUGAAUUGGUGAGUUCAGAGUCAGACUACAACUUGGAUGAGGAGCUAAGGAUUUUGUAGUAGGGGACGGGUGUACACGCUCAGUCUCCUGUAUAGCUGUUGUGCAUCUGGACCACAGCAAAUUUCACUGCUUUCAAUUUUUUCCUAAUUGUAGAGUCUGGAAAUAACAUGAUUGUAGAGUGGUUGUUUUAGCAGUUCAGUAGAGAUAGGUGAAAAGACUACUUCUGUGCAAUUCCCUGUAACUAAGAACCAAGUGCCAGCUGUGAACAGAACUUGCUCUACUAUAAAGGAAAAAGGCUGCCUCUCCCAACUUUCUUUCCCACUGCAGUCCCCAUAUCACCACAGCUAACUCCUUCCAUCUCAUAUGAUCUCCCUGUAAGACUGAGAUUCAAUUCUGAGGGAGCUUUGUCUUGCAGUAGCAAGGGCAGGCAGUGUGAUGUGGGAGCCUGACAUGCAGCUGAUGCUGCUGGCACCUCUUCUCCUACUGCAUUGGUCUUACAGUGUGCCCCUAAACAAACUCUGUCUGCUGCUGAUCACACUGCACAUAUCCAGAAUGAACCAGCUGUGGUCUCUGUAUUGUAUGGGGGCUCUGUUCUCCCACUUGCAGGUGGUAAAUGUGAAAACUAGCAUCAGCUUCAGUGCCUCUGUGAAGCCCAUGCUUGCUGACUCACUAUAGUGCAAACCUUCCACUUGGUAUCUGCUCUCCAGGCACAGAAAUGGUGCAAACCUAGAAGAUGGGCAACUGCUACUAUUGGCACAAUAGAUUAUGAAAAGCACGCCCUCUUCCUGUUGUGUUUAUACUCCUGAGAUAAAACAGCUCUGUAGCAAGCUACAAGGGAUGAUGUGGUUGAGAGAAAGGGACAUGUCAUGUGUCUUGAUCUCACUAUGAAUGAGUCAGUGCUCUCCAUUGGAUUUGCAGUGAGGCACAGAGUGUAUUUGUGACUGCUAGCUGCACAGAAAGCCUGUGGCAUGUCAUUACACCUGAAGCACCCUGGCUGGGCUGGUGGCAUGGCCUUGACUGGCAAGGCACUGCCCUGCCACCCUCCCCGGAGGUCCUUUCUGCUCCCAGUGCCUCUUCAGUUGACUUUACCAACUGGUCUCAUCUAGACAUCACUUUGCUGCAGUGCAGUUAGAGCAAUGGUGUGGUCUCAAGGACCAAUUAGACUAUUGUAGGCAAACACUGAAAAGAAUGUAAUCCCAAAGACACAGCUAUCAUGCAUAACUGAGCAAUACAGGCAGGUAAGGAAAAUUCCAAACAUAUGAAACACUUAAUAAAAUAGAAACCUAAAUUGCCCUACUUGGAGUUCUUCUCCUGCCGUUAUUGAAAAACACUUCAUUAACAAAAACGGGGCACACAUUUUACACAAAAAAGGCCUAAGACUGCAUUGAUCUCACAAAUUUGACUGUGAUCUGAAUGAAAACAAUUACUCACAACCCUUCCCUCUCCCUUCCCCAACUGAAUCCAUUUUUCUUCAGUUUGUGAUUAAUUUGUAGUCAUCUGAAACCUGAAAGGUUUCAAGUAUUAGCUGAAGAAAUGAGCAGAUGCAAAAAACACAUCUGAAAGGCCAAGAAUGGUAAAUCCAAAAAUUUAUAGAUACUUUAGAAACCUUGUUUUACUAAUUAAAAGUUUUACAAAUCAGAGUCCAGAGAACAAUAGCAGUAGUUUCAUUGUUUAAUGCAAAAAUUAUGCCUGCCACAUCACCUACACUUUCCUCCAAAAUCAUUAUUUUUUGUGAAUAUACCAGGUACAUUGCCGAUAUCAGUGUGCAUAGACAUACUUUAGAAGUACAGUGAGUGAAGACAAGAUUUUUGGAUAUGCUGUAGCAAUAAAAGUCUAUUUUAGAGGACUGCUUGCAUCAGCAUUUCAAAAAACAUUUCCUUGAUGCAUUAUCACAUUCUACAAGUCAUCUGUUAUCACUGAUAAUCAUUUAUAAGGCAAUUUCAAUUUCAAAGAUCUGUUACUAAUUUUUCAGCUUUUCAUUAUCAUACCCUUACACCCUUCAUAGAAAAAAAAGUUCAAGGAUGUUUAUUUUGAUAAAGAAGAUAAAGUGACCCAGUGCUGCUUUUAAUAACACACUUUCAUAUACAACAAGCCAGCCAGGCAAAAAUGUAUUCAGCACAAUUCUUAAAAAUCAUGGCUCCAUCUCUUUUAAAAAUGACAUUAUUUUCAUUACUUUUCAAAAUUCUGGAAGCAAAUGAAUAUUUUGAUGCCAUGUGUUACAUAACAACUCAAAGGACAUUCUGCCAUUUCUUAUCCACCAGGCUAUUCUGUUGCCAUCUUGUAGAAUGGUUGGAUAUGUUAACGGGGCAAUCUCCAGGCUGCAGUGUAAGAGAACUGAAGGGAAUUAAUAUGUAGUGAUGCCACAGAAGGUACCUAGACAGAUACAGGACAAAUCCAGUUAGAUGUUCAGCACAUUUGAUCUACAUGAUCCAGCAAUUUAUGGAGAGUUUACAUUUUAAACAUCAGAAAUAUAUCUUUUCUUUAUCUAGAAUGCAUAAAUGGAACAGUUGAUCUCUAGAACUGUGAUUCAUUGUGAAAAUGAGGACCUAAAGAUUGAGAGGUCCAGUGGGAGAACAUCAUGCAAAUGCUGAUCAAAUAAUUUUUUUAAGUAAAUGAGCUGGAUUAAGCCUAAUCAAGAAGAUGCAGCUGCCCUUCCCCUGUAUACUGAUUCUUAAAUGGUAUUAAAAAGUAGCAGUAGAAGAGAGAGAAUCAAUAAAACAGGGGCAUUUUAAAAUGUUUUUGUUUUUUGUUUGUUUUUCCAGGAGUAAUUUAUUUAGGAAAAAGUGUUUAAAAAUUAAAAGAUGUAGUUGUUUAUGCUGGUUGAAAACCAAACUGCAGUGUUAUUACCUGCUUUCUGUGGGUGAGUCACUUAAAAUCAAAAUAUUCUCUGAAACCAAAGCUUUGGGUUGCCUCCAGUUAGGUGGCUGGCAUGAGUUUCUCUGUUCCUUUGAGCCUACUUUGAGAGCAAGUUAUAGGAAUUUCACUAGAACAAGAGAUGAGGAUUAGUGAAUCCCCAUUAUACAUUGGCUUACAGAGAAGCAAAUACUGAAGAGUAUGUGUGUUUCUUCAGUAUCACUUAUUUCUCAAUGCACUGGCGGGACUGUCAACAUCUUGUCUUAUUUUGCCCACGUCUUUUCAUGUUUUUUCCUGAGGAAGGCCAAACUGGCCAUCUUUCAGACAAUUUCUGCUGCUGCUUUCCUGAAAUCCAAUAAGUGAAGUGUGUUUUUCUGUUUACUGGGUCUCUUAAUAAGACAAAAAUUACAGUGGUGAAAAACUUCAUGUAGCACCUUAAGAGACCCAACAUAGCACGUGGCACCAAAAGAUUGUUACAUGUCUAACAUCUGCCUUCAGAGACUUGCAUUAGGGACAGGGUUAUCUUGCACUGUUAGACACUUUCCACACACAGCACAGAAAUUGUCUUUGCGCAGGACAAUUUAUAGGUUAUACUCAAGUAUUAGCUGAAGAAAUGAGCAGAUGCAACAAACACAAGAACAAAGAUGAAACAACAAUGGAAAAAAAUUGACUGGUAAAAUAAACAAUGGUCAAAGCACACCAUCUGCUUUUCUGCAGAGCCCACAAAUCACUGAACAAUGGCUGGAGUGACUUUGAAAGCAUUUGAGGAAAAAUAAUUACUGUUGCUGUGGUUUCUGAGCAUUUGGGAGAGAAUGGAUUCCAAUUGUGUCCACAUCUUUUUCAAUAACUCACAGACUAUUACAGUCCAAAGCUAUUUUGUUCAAAAGUAUUUAUAUUUUUGAACCAAAUUUCUGACGGCCAAAUCAGCAGCUAUGUUUAUAAUUCAGAGGCACAGCUCUGCUGUCAAAGCUCCAGGAAAAGCAGCUGUGUUGGAAAACUUUCUAUGAGCCAGUGGUAAUUUCUUUCUUUUCUGAAGAUGCAUGACUCAAAGCUGCUGUGACUUGUGAUUUUGUUUUUCUUCCUCAAAACACGUUGAAAAAUUGCUACCUUCAAGAAGGUGGUCAUAUGUUAAAUGACAAUAAUGUUCACUGAGAGACACAUCAUUGAAAAUAUAUCCACAUGAGAAAAAUGUGCUUCUGCUUCUUCUGACAGCUUCAGUGGGAGUUGGAUUUGGAUCAGAUAAAGAAUCGGUGUUGCCCUUUGUUAAUGGAAAAUUAUUAUUUUUUUAUAGGAAGCUGUAUGAUAAUACGACAGGUACUAUGAAAUACUCCCUUUCUUCCCAAAUGUGUUAAUGGCCCAGAACUUGGAUGCAAAAUAACACUGUCCAGUUCCAUGUCAGAUACUUCAGCAAAAUUGUCAUUGUGGCUAUUGAGGUAUGCCAGAACAUUAUGAAGAUGAUGCCAAAGUCUAUUGCAUACUGUACAUAUUUGAUGUAAUCAGUCAUUGUGAGCUAUGAACCCAGUGCCAUAUACUUCCUCUCCCUGCUGCACCCAUACUUCCCUCCCCCAAAGCUUAUUAUCAUGCACAUUAGAAAACUGCAAUCUUGCCAAUUUGUUAUUGUCACUAAGGGCAAAGCACUUGUGUUCAUAUUAGGUUGUUAAAGCAGGAUUGUUUUCAAUCACUUUUAAACUGUUUUCUCACGCAUGACUUUAAGUUACAAACAGUAGAAGUCAGAACUCAAAGUAGAAGUGUUAUUUCCUGCGGCUCCACUUCUAACACUCCAUUCUCAGGUAUUGUUGUUUAUUCUGUUGUUUAUCUCCUUCCCUUACCUUGAGUUUUGUUGUAGGUGCAGUUCUCCAGAUAACUGGAAAACAAACAACAAACGCUGUUUGUUUCCAGUCAUUUUUUGUAAUGAUCAAAUACUAGGAAGUUAAUAUAUCAUAAUUUCCAAUGGAGGAAAGCAAGAAGAGGUAGAACUGCACAGGUUUUAGGAUUCUCAGUCCUGGAAACUAAAUUUUGUUCUCUAAUCUCUGUCAAAGUGUAAAUCUUCAAACCAGACUAUACUGCAUAUUGUAGCUAAUCAUCAAGGGACCAGUCUAAAUUCUGCCCACCUGCUUUUGCAGUGUGUCAGGAAAUAUUUUGGGGCUUCUGUAAUCUUUUGUGGGUUUUCUUGUUUUUAGUUUGGUAGGUUUUACUGUUGAAUUAGAUCUCAAGGGAUCAUGUGCUUAUUAUUUUCCUGGUAGCUAGCAGGUGUUGUCUGUGGAUGGUCUGCUGUUAUGCCAUUAGCUCUGUAAGAACCUCAUAUUUUGUCACUUGUGAUGUAACCUAAUGAGAUACAAGACUCUUACUUUUCAGUAACAACAAUUUAUCACUCUUCAGAGGGUGUGCUGUUAAAACAAAUAUUUUUUCUUACACAUGCAUAAGGGCCACAUUCCCACUCUUUACUUGCAUCUUGCAUUGUUUACCUCAAAUGAUGAUUUGAGACUUGCAGUGGUUGUUAAAAAAGUAAUUUAUGUGGAAGACCUUACAGGUGUUCCAUUUUAUAACAAUUUCAAAACAAUAAAAUGUGAAUAAAAUUCCCAGUGAUUGUUUUUCUCUAGGAUGGAUAAAAUCAUUAACAGAUAUGAAGUUUAAACGUAGUGGGUGUUCUCCGUUUACAUACAGGGAAUCUGAAACACUGAUUUCUGUAGAUAUGCAUGUAUAUAUUCUAAUUCUUAGAGCGAGGAGAACAAAUCUGUAGAGGGGAAAGAAUGGCUUCUGCAAAAACAUGGAACACUGGCAAUCUGUUCCUGACUUGGAAGUGUUAGAAGAAUGCUGCUUAGUCCUGCCUUAUUUUUUGCCUUGGAUCUUCAAGCAUUUAACCUAGUCAGUUAGGAAGGAAAAAUAGAACAUUUUUUUUCUGAGUGAGGAAUUAUUUGAUUCUCCAAGUAGGUGUGACAAUAUACAUUGCAAGCAUUUUUGGAGAAAGAAUGAUUUUAGACAGUAGAAUGCACUUGGGCUAGGGAGAAAUCAAAACUCCUCCACUGAACUCCUGUCCCCAACUGAUACUUCACAGUGUGUGCUUCUACCUCAGUUGUGUGGCGUAACUCAAUAGAGUGGAUAGUGUGAGAGAAGAAACAGUACGAGAAAAAGAGAAACCCCUAACACUUAGAGCAGCCCCUUGGAAAAUAACUUGAACUUUGGUUCAAGUGCAGUCUCCACCAGCUACCACCAAGAUCUGGAGGUUUGUUUCCAAAUGCCAGAAAUUCUUCUGAUGAGCAUACAUGUAAUCUGACCAAAAAAAAAAAAAAAUUCAUCCUGGCCCUGUGGGAAUUUUCACUUUUUUUUGACAUCAUAUGUAAUGGAUGUCCAUGUGAUCAAAUACCAUCCAUUACAUAUGAUGUGAUGAUUUGAUCCAUGUGAUCAAAUACCUGAAGGGAAAGUGCAAAGAGGACAGAGCCAGGCUCUUUUCAGUGGUGCCCAGUGCCAGAACAAAAGGCACUGGGCACAAACUGGGUCACAGGAGGCUGCUUCUGAACACCAGGAGCACUGUUUAUGAACAAUGAACACUUGCACAGACAGCCCAGAGAGGCCAUGGAUCUCCCUUGUUAGAGAUCUUCCAGGGGACCAAGUCCUCUUGGCAUGGUCCUGGACACCUUGCUCUGGGUGGACCUGCUUGGGCAGGGGGCUUGCACCAGACGACUUUUGGACAUCCAUUCCGACCUCAGCCAUUCUGUGAUUCUGUGAUAAUGUAAAGUAACUAACUCCAGGGCCAAAAUUGUUUAUUGCUCCAUUAUGGAAAGGAAAGUGUAGAUGUAGCUGGGUGAGAGUUCUUGGUCAGUAAAAAGAGAAUUCUGUCUUUUUUAUAGUGAGUAACAGCCACUGGGAAUUUUCCAAAUACUAGUUAGGUGUGAGCCUAGGUGCUAUAGUUCCUGCAGCCUUUCAGGGGCUGUCACGAUCUGGAAGUUUAAUUGCUCUGUCAUUCCUUGAGGCUCUUAGAAUUACAAGUGCAUCCAACUUUCCUCUGAAAAUAUUGGAGCCUGGUUUAAUUUAAUGUGUUACUAUAGAAAAAGCAUUUUAUUUACUGCAGUGGAUUCAUUUCUUAUAAACUGAACACUUCAUUGCAUGCAACUCAGGUUGCCCUGAAACAAAAUCACUGAAUGGUUUUCAUGUUAAGUAUAGGGUGAGAUAGAUAAAUACAUUGUUUGUGUGACUAACCAAGAAAUCAGUUCCCAUAGCAACACUAACUACUUUCCAAUCCUUAAACUCAGCAUCCUACAAGAUCCAUACAGCUGCACUAAACUAUCCUAGCUCAAGAUAGGGUCUCCUCUAUGCUGAUAAAGUAGAAAUGUGAAAAUAUAUGUAGUUCUUUGGGACAAAAACAUCUGUCUGAACUGAGGAAAAGAUAGCAGUGAGUACAAUAAGGUAUAGGAGGGUAGUUACAAUAUAGGGAUAGCUUCAUAGAUAACAACAUGCACAGUAUGAUGAGCAUUAAUCAUAGCUGUUUCUUUUUUCUCUCCCUAUUGUCUUGUAGCGAUUCUGUCAGCUACCACAGUGCCUGCAAGGAGUCCACCUGCAGAUUUUGACCACAUCUCUUCCUCUGAUCUGUUUUGUUGCUUACGUUUGGUGGCUCAGAUGAAGAGAAAUCUAGGAACUUGUCUUACAAUUCAGGUGGAAAAAGACUUCCUUCCAGAGGGUUCCUUGUUGUGGUUUAACCAAGCAGGCAGCUCAGCACCACACAGCUGAUUGCUCCUUCCCUCCUCCCUGCCCCUGCAGGGGGGACAGGGAUGGGAAUCAGGAAGGAAAAAAAAAAAAGUAAAAUCUUGGGGGUUAAGAUGAAGACAAUUUAAAAGGACAGAAAAGGAAGGGAAAUAGUGAUGAUGAUGAUGACAAUGAUGAUGGUGAUGAUGAUAAUAAUAAUAGGACGUACAAAGCAAGUGAUGAAUAAUGCAAUUCCUCACCACCUGCUGACUGAUGCCCAUCCCAUCCCCAAGCAGUGAUUCUCCCCACCCCAGCCAGCCCACCCAGUUUUAUUGUUUAGUAUGGUGCCACACAGUAUGGGACAUUCCUUUGGCCAGCCUGGGCCAGCUGUCCUGGCUGUGUCCUCUCCCAGCUCCUGGCGCAACCCCAGCCUCCUCACUGGCAGGGCAGUACCAAAAGCUGAAAUGUCCUUGGCUCUGUGUGAGCACUACUCCGCAACAACUAAGUCAUCAGUGUAUUAUCAGCAUUAUUUUCAUCUUAAAUCCAAAACACAACACCAUGGCAUCUACAAGGAGGAAAAUUAACUCUAAAUUCACUCAGGACAUCCCUUCAGGUACCUUUAUGUUUGUGAUAGCUCUCUGGAGAUACACAGGUUUUUUCACAUACAUUUCUAGCUCUUACUUACUGAGUGCUUCCCAACACCAAAAUUUCUAAACAAAUCUAGAGCCAACUUUAAAAAAAAAAACUGGUCCCUGUCUCUAACCAAACCAAGUCAGAGUGAGCUCAGUUUGGACUCUCCUGUUUGCAGGGAUAAAAUUAAAUGAAAUUCAGCAGAAUUUUACUACCUGAUGGAUACAUAUGUUAACAUUAUUCUUAAUUGACAAAAGAUUACUAGAAAGAUUUUUUGAAUCACUUAAAACAUACAAGUAAAUAAGACUGUUUAGGACCCUCUUGUAGUUAAAUCCAUAAAGCCAAAAUUAAAAUGCCAAAAAUAGAGCAAGCUAACCUACUAUAUGAGACUGGAUAAAUGUUAAAAAUCACUCAAAAGCCAUGCGAUUUCCCACUUGUGUUUGAUAAUUCUCUCAUAUUUGGAGCUUUCAAAAUAAGCUCUAAGGACAAUGUAACUUAGAAAUUUUGUUGUUGACUAGCUAAUAAAUUUUGUUGCCAUUCUGUCUAUAAUAACUUCACACAUAUAUUUUUGAUAUUUUUUUAGGUACAUUUACUUCAGCUGAUCUAGUUCUGACUGUUACUAAAACAAACUGAUUCUGAAGUUUUCAUUUUACUUCUUCAUAUGUAUGGCCAGUCCAGGUUUUUUUCCACUAGCUAUUUGAAAUACAAUCUAUUUCUCUCAUCAAUGAGUGUCUUGUGUCAUCACACGGCACUUACAAGGCAACCAGGUGAUCAGGCCCAGUCACUAUGAGUUUAUGAAAGGCAGGUCCUGCUUGACGAACCUGA
Molecule: non-coding RNA, 11142 nt
Organism: Anas platyrhynchos (mallard)
Lineage: Eukaryota; Metazoa; Chordata; Aves; Anseriformes; Anatidae
Source: RefSeq, a predicted model, not a curated record